CGUUAACCCAGCGACACAGACUGUCUGUCUCCCUUCCUCACUCCAUCGUUAUAUUCAGCACACCGCUAUUAGCAAGUAUCAUAUAGAAGGGACAAUAUGAAUUGACUGCUUUCCCAAGGUGGUCAUCUGCGAAACAGUCGCUUGCAGAAUCAUAACCAACCUUAUGGUUAACACCUUCAAAGAUAAGGCAGCCAUGUUUAUGAUACGAGCCAUGUGUAAAUAUUGUCAUUCAUCAGCAGCUCCGAGUCAGGUUUAUCUCGUUUGUAGCUUUCCUGUGCCGUAACACACGCUGUACCUUUUACGCCCUCAAAUGUGUUUUUAGGAAUGAAAGUCGCUAUCACGGUUGCUGGGAGUGCUAAAUAACGCCACCUUGGUGAUAUGGGAAGGCACCACAGAUGUUCGGGGCACGAUGAACAAUUUGUUCCCGUUGGCCGUUCCGUUUUGACGUGCGUGUACAUAUCCGGAUAAAUAGACACCAAGGAACGCGUACAAACAGGUAAUUCGUAGGACGAGUCACAAGGAGUUCGAUUUUGAGGGGGCACCAAUAUGGCUGAGUCAAAAUAACGCAGGUCGUCCAAUGUUGCUCGAUUCUACCGCUUCAUAGUUUAAAGGCAGUUAACGUUAAGGCCCGGAAAAGAUAACCUGAUGUUAAAGAUGUGAAAGUAUUAUGUUGAAUCGAAGCCCUCACCCGAAGAACAAAUAUGUCACACUUUGAUUCCUGAGACUGUAUCAGGCGAAGGUACUGGCAGGGCAUGAAUCUGUUUUCUGUAAGAGAUGUAUAUAAAUUCCCUCAGGCCGUAAUUAUUUUAGUACGCCUAGUGAGCAGCACUGCUGCUCACAAGAAAAGGAUGCAAAGUUUGUCAUAUUUGAUAAAUACACGCACGCCUACGCAAACCGGCUGCCAGAAGGCGACGAUAACGUUGACGGCACUCACCCGUAAAGCGGAGGCAACGGUAGCACCAGCGCCAUCUGUUGCUCCGAAGCAGCAAUUCGUUGGCGCUGGAAAACGCGACGAAUAACUCGACGGAAUGUAACUAGAUCAAUAAUAAGUACAACAAUUAGAGGAAUAGAGGCUAUAAAUUCAAUAGGGGGUCGACGUAUGAGGAGGAGAUAAGGUUGACAGACAGACAAACAAAAACAAUGAAACAUUAUUGUAGCAAGUUAAGUUUAAAAUUCUGUGCGAAUUUAAGUAAGCUUUGCUUUCAGUAAGGAAUUAUUUAUCUUAGCGGAUUUUCAUGUACCUGUUAUAUAAGUAGACGAUGUGUUAUGGUGACUGUGUUAUCUUGAUUGAUUUGUGCCGUAACCCUCGCAACGGCUCGGGCACGAUUAAGUUACCAUCUAAAGAUGCUUUGCUUCCAUCAAGUUGCGUCGAAGGCGGAUAACUCGAAUAGAAAUGAUAUUGUCUGAAAAAUUCUAUCACACUACAUCAGCGGUGCCAUUUCUAAAGCGUUGGCAGCAUACAUUAAAUGUUGCUAAAUAAUUAUAGCUGUUUUAAAAUUCUAGGCAUGUUAGUCAAUGGUAUUAGCUUUUCAUAGUAAAUAAAGUCAUAAAGUAAAUGUAAAUGAAGAUUUGCCAACUUUUCCCGUUGGUACCCUGCUUAGGAAUAGAGAUCUGCUGUGUUCGUUGACUGUUACGCGGAGCUCUUUCCAUAGGUAGCUUUAAGCGUUACGUCAGAUAGAUCUUCAUUAGAGGACGGCUUGAUGUUAUUGUUGCUGUUGUCCUCGUUUUCAUUGUUGGUAGUGACGCAACUCGGUCUAAUAAUCCUAUUGCAGUUGUUGUUUUGAAAGCUUCAAAUCAAGAUGGCGCAGAAGAGCACCAAGAAGAAGCAGGGCAAACAGGCUUCGGUCUAAAGGCGCAACAACAAGCAAACCAAAAACAGAGUAAAGAAGAGACGAAAUAGAAGAAGGAGACGCUUACAGAGACGACAAUGAUGACACCGAAAAUGAGAAAGCAGUAAACAUUUUGGGGCUGGGCUCUUACAUAUUCAAUUUUCUAUCCUUCUCUAUCAACUGCUGGUACUUUAGUUCACGGGCUGAAGUUCAUUGCUGUUGUAUUUAUCAUCGUGAUGGCCAUGGAUUCGUUACAGAUCUAAAAGAAGUUCUACCCAGCCGAAAAUCAUAGAAUAAGAAGCUAAGAAAGUCUAAAUACAAACAAAAAAACAACAAAUAUGAGAGCUUAAUUUCGACCCCAAACACCCCACACGAAGCUGUGCAAAUACGUAUUCAUCAAUGUGAUUUAUCGUUACCAACUCACGAUAUAUAGACUCACAAAAAAAUUUAAUACUUACAUAAACACCAACGUUUCACACAGAUGUAAAACACACAGACAAUUCAAUGAAUAUUCGCGUAAAUGUGUCGGUAACACUUCAAUAUUGCUUCAUUAAAAUUUGGGUCGAACAGCACUUUACUGGCCAUUAUCGUUGCACCGGGUGACGUCUCGUUCAGCCUAUUGC
This 2452-nucleotide long non-coding RNA is filed under the name Varroa destructor (honeybee mite). RNAcentral describes it as "uncharacterized LOC111245809". Lineage: Eukaryota; Metazoa; Arthropoda; Arachnida; Mesostigmata; Varroidae. The record is from RNAcentral.